GCAGUCGAACGGUGUAGCAAUACAUAGUGGCGCACGGGUGCGUAACACGUAUGCAACCUACCUUAUACUGGGGGAUAGCCUUUGGAAACGGAGAUUAAUACCCCAUAGUACAUUUGAUUGGCAUCAAUUAAAUGUUAAAGAUUUAUCGGUAUAAGCUGGGCAUGCGUCCAAUUAGUUAGUUGGUGAGGUAAUGGCUCACCAAGACUUUGAUUGGUAGGGGAACUGAGAGGUUAAUCCCCCACACUGGCACUGAGAUACGGGCCAGACUCCUACGGGAGGCAGCAGUAGGGAAUAUUGGGCAAUGGAGGCAACUCUGACCCAGCCAUGCCGCGUGCAGGAAGAAGGCGUUAUGCGUUGUAAACUGCUUUUAUAUAGGAAGAAAUAGUCCUUGCGAGGAAAGUUGACGGUACUAUAUGAAUAAGCACCGGCUAACUCCGUGCCAGCAGCCGCGGUAAUACGGAGGGUGCAAGCGUUGUCCGGAUUUAUUGGGUUUAAAGGGUGCGUAGGCGGUUUAUUAAGUCAGUGGUGAAAGACGGUCGCUCAACGAUUGCAGUGCCAUUGAUACUGGUAGACUUGAGUGGGAUUGAGGUAGCUGGAAUGGAUAGUGUAGCGGUGAAAUGCAUAGAUAUUAUCCAGAACACCAAUUGCGUAGGCAAGUUACUAAGUCUCAACUGACGCUGAG
Molecule: ribosomal RNA, 682 nt
Filed under: uncultured bacterium
Lineage: Bacteria
Description: bacterial SSU rRNA
Rfam family: Bacterial small subunit ribosomal RNA
Source: RNAcentral